RNAcentral lists this microRNA precursor (192 nucleotides) under Oryza sativa Indica Group (long-grained rice). RNAcentral describes it as "MIR812 microRNA precursor family". It matches the Rfam family "MIR812 microRNA precursor family". Lineage: Eukaryota; Viridiplantae; Streptophyta; Magnoliopsida; Poales; Poaceae. The record is from Rfam by way of RNAcentral.
UCUAAGUGUAAUUUUGCACUAUUUAUGUCAACGUUGUCUUAUUUAAAACUCUUUUAUAUUAGUAUUAUUAUUAUUAUUAGAUGAUAAAAUAUGGAUAGUAUUUUAUGUGUGACUUUUUUAAAAAAAUUCAUAAUUUUUUAAUUAAGAUGGACGGUUAAACUUUGUACAUGAAUAUCCACGGCUGUACUUAUU